AAAGUACUCCCUCCAUCUAGAAAUAUUUGUCGGAGGAAUGGAUGCAUCUAGACGUAUUUUAGUUCUAGAUACAUCCAUUGUUAUGCAUUUCUCCGACAAGUAUCCGGACGAAGGGAGUAGUAC
This is a non-coding RNA of Triticum aestivum (bread wheat), 123 nucleotides long. The record is from Rfam. NCBI's taxonomy places the organism in Eukaryota, Viridiplantae, Streptophyta, Magnoliopsida, Poales, Poaceae.